Long non-coding RNA from Vicia villosa (hairy vetch), 676 nucleotides. RefSeq lists it as uncharacterized. NCBI's taxonomy places the organism in Eukaryota, Viridiplantae, Streptophyta, Magnoliopsida, Fabales, Fabaceae. The record is from RefSeq and is a predicted model, not a curated record. The transcript has 3 exons.
GGUUUUAAUAAGACGGUUAUCUUAAACCGACAUAAUGUCUCCGCAAAUGAACAUCUCCAAGGCUGUGUACGUAUUCCCUUCUUAUUCUUCUCAUUCUCCAAGGCUGAACAUCUCUCACCGAAAGUUACGAUUUCUUAAUCAUAUCUACACCGACGUAAAUCAACCUCACAUGAUUUGAAGAUUUUCAUCGUGCUUCAACUCUUACAACUUACAAGGUUUCAUGGGGCAAUGUCUCAGCAAAUGAUAAAUCACAUUGUUUAUCAACACAAUAUUGAUAUGGAUACUCAACUCCUCAAAAAAUUAAAGUAUCAACUACAUGUGAAGGUGAUGGAGGGCUUUCUGCAAGGAUUGGGUAGCAUUGAGGAAGUUACAUGUGUUCUAAGGGGUGUUUGCUCUAAUACCAUUACACACUUCAACUUAUCAAGUAUUUAUCUUUUUAAUGUUAUAUAUUAUAUAAACAACCAAUUUAAUGUAGAUCUUGGGGUUUUGUAACACGACGGGAAUCUAGCUUUCUAGUUCAACAUACACAACACUUUUAGUUAUUUACGAGUUUCGUAAUUUAACGUUUCUCAUCUUAUUACAUUUUAGUCUCUUGUGGUCAUAUUGUAGUUAUGUAGCAAAGACAAUUGCAUAUGCCUUGGAAGAGUCUUUUUUCUUAUUUUGACAUAUCUCAGAU